GUAAAGUUUUAUUCUUGCUUUUUCGUUUAGUUUUUGUUUGUUCUAUAUGUAAGUUUAUGCGUGAGUUUACUUUUAAGGUUCUAAAUGGAUCAUAAAGGUUUAUUUUGAAAGAAAUUGAAUAUUCCUCAUUAGUUAUUAUUGGUUGAUCAAGUAUCCUUGUAUUUAGCAAUAUAUUUUAGUUUCGGUUAAAUUUUGUGCCAGCAGCCGCGGUUAUACCUUGGAAGCAUUUGAACGGGUUUGGUAUAUAAAGAUAGUUAUAUUGUUUAUUUUGGUUGAUUUUGUUUGUUUAGUUUUUAGGUGAAAUUUUUAUUAUUUUCGUUUGGUCUUGUUUUAUAUUUGGAGGCUAUGAAAUUUUAUUUUUAAACUAGGAUUAGAUACCCUAUUAUUUUAGAAUGUUAAAUUUUUGUACCUGAGUAGUACUAGUUAUGUUCUUGAAACUUAAAGAAUUUGGCGGUAUCUCAUUCCGUCUAGAGGAAUCUGUCCCGUUAUCGAUAGUCCACGCUGGACCUUACUUAUUUGAUUUUGGUUUGUAUACCGCCGUUUAUUGAUUAUCUUUUUAGAGUUUAUGUUAAUUUUCUGGUUUCUUUAUUUUGAUGUAUUUCAGGUCAAGGUGCAGCUUGUUUUUAAGUGGAAUGAUGGAUUACAUUGGUAUUUGUUUAUGGAUUGUUAAUUUUAAUAUUGGCAUGAAAUUGGAUUUAGUUGUAAUAAUUUGUAGAUUGUUAUUAUGAUAAUUGGUUCUGAGAUAUGCACACAUCGCCCGUCGCUCUCGUUUGUUUAUUAUGAUGAGAUAAGUCGUAACAAAGUGGUUGUACCGGAAGGUGCAGCUGGAUUGAU
Molecule: non-coding RNA, 834 nt
Filed under: Nasutitermes nr. perparvus TB-2014
Lineage: Eukaryota; Metazoa; Arthropoda; Insecta; Blattodea; Termitidae
Source: RNAcentral